This 459-nucleotide ribosomal RNA is filed under the name uncultured bacterium. Its description in RNAcentral is "partial 16S ribosomal RNA". It matches the Rfam family "Bacterial small subunit ribosomal RNA", at positions 338 to 795 of the family's 1533-position model. The record is from RNAcentral.
CCUACGGGUGGCAGCAGUGAGGAAUAUUGGUCAAUGGUCGGGAGACUGAACCAGCCAAGCCGCGUGAGGGAUGAAGGUACAGAGUAUCGUAAACCUCUUUUGUCAGGGAACAAAGGCGGGGACGUGUCUCCGGAUGAGUGUAUCUGAAGAAACAGCAUCGGCUAACUCGGUGCCAGCAGCCGCGGUAAUACGGAGGUUGCGAGCGUUAUCCGGUUUUAUUGGGUUAAGGGGGUGCGCAGGGGGCUUGUUAAGUCAGCGGUAAAAGCCCGGGGCUCAACCCCGGCCCGCCGUUGAAACUGGCAAUCUGGAGUUGAAGAGAAGUAUGCGGAAUGCGCGGUGUAGCGGUGAAAUGCAGAGAUAUCGCGCAGAACUCCAAUUGCGAAGGCAGCAUGCCGGCCCCAAACUGACGCUGAGGCACGAAAGCGUGGGUAGCGAACAGGAUUAGAUACCCCUGUAGUC